This 2904-nucleotide ribosomal RNA is filed under the name Escherichia coli. RNAcentral's name for it is "bacterial LSU rRNA". It matches the Rfam family "Bacterial large subunit ribosomal RNA". Lineage: Bacteria; Pseudomonadati; Pseudomonadota; Gammaproteobacteria; Enterobacterales; Enterobacteriaceae. The record is from RNAcentral.
UUAAGCGACUAAGCGUACACGGUGGAUGCCCUGGCAGUCAGAGGCGAUGAAGGACGUGCUAAUCUGCGAUAAGCGUCGGUAAGGUGAUAUGAACCGUUAUAACCGGCGAUUUCCGAAUGGGGAAACCCAGUGUGAUUCGUCACACUAUCAUUAACUGAAUCCAUAGGUUAAUGAGGCGAACCGGGGGAACUGAAACAUCUAAGUACCCCGAGGAAAAGAAAUCAACCGAGAUUCCCCCAGUAGCGGCGAGCGAACGGGGAGGAGCCCAGAGCCUGAAUCAGUGUGUGUGUUAGUGGAAGCGUCUGGAAAGGCGCGCGAUACAGGGUGACAGCCCCGUACACAAAAAUGCACAUGCUGUGAGCUCGAUGAGUAGGGCGGGACACGUGGUAUCCUGUCUGAAUAUGGGGGGACCAUCCUCCAAGGCUAAAUACUCCUGACUGACCGAUAGUGAACCAGUACCGUGAGGGAAAGGCGAAAAGAACCCCGGCGAGGGGAGUGAAAAAGAACCUGAAACCGUGUACGUACAAGCAGUGGGAGCCUCUUUAUGGGGUGACUGCGUACCUUUUGUAUAAUGGGUCAGCGACUUAUAUUCUGUAGCAAGGUUAACCGAAUAGGGGAGCCGAAGGGAAACCGAGUCUUAACUGGGCGUUAAGUUGCAGGGUAUAGACCCGAAACCCGGUGAUCUAGCCAUGGGCAGGUUGAAGGUUGGGUAACACUAACUGGAGGACCGAACCGACUAAUGUUGAAAAAUUAGCGGAUGACUUGUGGCUGGGGGUGAAAGGCCAAUCAAACCGGGAGAUAGCUGGUUCUCCCCGAAAGCUAUUUAGGUAGCGCCUCGUGAAUUCAUCUCCGGGGGUAGAGCACUGUUUCGGCAAGGGGGUCAUCCCGACUUACCAACCCGAUGCAAACUGCGAAUACCGGAGAAUGUUAUCACGGGAGACACACGGCGGGUGCUAACGUCCGUCGUGAAGAGGGAAACAACCCAGACCGCCAGCUAAGGUCCCAAAGUCAUGGUUAAGUGGGAAACGAUGUGGGAAGGCCCAGACAGCCAGGAUGUUGGCUUAGAAGCAGCCAUCAUUUAAAGAAAGCGUAAUAGCUCACUGGUCGAGUCGGCCUGCGCGGAAGAUGUAACGGGGCUAAACCAUGCACCGAAGCUGCGGCAGCGACGCUUAUGCGUUGUUGGGUAGGGGAGCGUUCUGUAAGCCUGCGAAGGUGUACUGUGAGGUAUGCUGGAGGUAUCAGAAGUGCGAAUGCUGACAUAAGUAACGAUAAAGCGGGUGAAAAGCCCGCUCGCCGGAAGACCAAGGGUUCCUGUCCAACGUUAAUCGGGGCAGGGUGAGUCGACCCCUAAGGCGAGGCCGAAAGGCGUAGUCGAUGGGAAACAGGUUAAUAUUCCUGUACUUGGUGUUACUGCGAAGGGGGGACGGAGAAGGCUAUGUUGGCCGGGCGACGGUUGUCCCGGUUUAAGCGUGUAGGCUGGAUUUUCCAGGCAAAUCCGGAAAAUCAAGGCUGAGGCGUGAUGACGAGGCACUACGGUGCUGAAGCAACAAAUGCCCUGCUUCCAGGAAAAGCCUCUAAGCAUCAGGUAACAUCAAAUCGUACCCCAAACCGACACAGGUGGUCAGGUAGAGAAUACCAAGGCGCUUGAGAGAACUCGGGUGAAGGAACUAGGCAAAAUGGUGCCGUAACUUCGGGAGAAGGCACGCUGAUACGUAGGUGAAGUCCCUUGCGGAUGGAGCUGAAAUCAGUCGAAGAUACCAGCUGGCUGCAACUGUUUAUUAAAAACACAGCACUGUGCAAACACGAAAGUGGACGUAUACGGUGUGACGCCUGCCCGGUGCCGGAAGGUUAAUUGAUGGGGUUAGCGGUAACGCGAAGCUCUUGAUCGAAGCCCCGGUAAACGGCGGCCGUAACUAUAACGGUCCUAAGGUAGCGAAAUUCCUUGUCGGGUAAGUUCCGACCUGCACGAAUGGCGUAAUGAUGGCCAGGCUGUCUCCACCCGAGACUCAGUGAAAUUGAACUCGCUGUGAAGAUGCAGUGUACCCGCGGCAAGACGGAAAGACCCCGUGAACCUUUACUAUAGCUUGACACUGAACAUUGAGCCUUGAUGUGUAGGAUAGGUGGGAGGCUUUGAAGUGUGGACGCCAGUCUGCAUGGAGCCGACCUUGAAAUACCACCCUUUAAUGUUUGAUGUUCUAACGUUGGCCCCUAAUCGGGGUUGCGGACAGUGUCUGGUGGGUAGUUUGACUGGGGCGGUCUCCUCCUAAAGAGUAACGGAGGAGCACGAAGGUUGGCUAAUCCUGGUCGGACAUCAGGAGGUUAGUGCAAUGGCAUAAGCCAGCUUGACUGCGAGCGUGACGGCGCGAGCAGGUGCGAAAGCAGGUCAUAGUGAUCCGGUGGUUCUGAAUGGAAGGGCCAUCGCUCAACGGAUAAAAGGUACUCCGGGGAUAACAGGCUGAUACCGCCCAAGAGUUCAUAUCGACGGCGGUGUUUGGCACCUCGAUGUCGGCUCAUCACAUCCUGGGGCUGAAGUAGGUCCCAAGGGUAUGGCUGUUCGCCAUUUAAAGUGGUACGCGAGCUGGGUUUAGAACGUCGUGAGACAGUUCGGUCCCUAUCUGCCGUGGGCGCUGGAGAACUGAGGGGGGCUGCUCCUAGUACGAGAGGACCGGAGUGGACGCAUCACUGGUGUUCGGGUUGUCAUGCCAAUGGCACUGCCCGGUAGCUAAAUGCGGAAGAGAUAAGUGCUGAAAGCAUCUAAGCACGAAACUUGCCCCGAGAUGAGUUCUCCCUGACUCCUUGAGAGUCCUGAAGGAACGUUGAAGACGACGACGUUGAUAGGCCGGGUGUGUAAGCGCAGCGAUGCGUUGAGCUAACCGGUACUAAUGAACCGUGAGGCUUAACCUU